Non-coding RNA from Mus musculus (house mouse), 58 nucleotides. The record is from Rfam. NCBI's taxonomy places the organism in Eukaryota, Metazoa, Chordata, Mammalia, Rodentia, Muridae.
UGGCUCAGUGGUUAAGAGCACUGGAUGCUCUUCCAGAGGUCCUGAGUUCAAUUCCCAG